RNAcentral lists this transfer RNA (76 nucleotides) under Methanobacteriota archaeon. RNAcentral describes it as "Euryarchaeota archaeon (marine metagenome) tRNA-Met". It matches the Rfam family "tRNA". Rfam says of the family: Transfer RNA (tRNA) molecules are approximately 80 nucleotides in length. The record is from RNAcentral. RNAcentral also lists the same sequence under 3 other names. Lineage: Archaea; Methanobacteriati; Methanobacteriota.
GCCGGGGUGGCGUAGUUGGUAGCGCGUCGGACUCAUAAUCCGAAGGUCGGGGGUUCAAGUCCCCCUCCCGGCACCA